GGGGGGUAAUUACCCCAAUUACCCUUGUGGAAGCUAAGCAGGGUCGGAGGGGGUCGACCUUGGAUGGGUUCCCUAAGAUUGGUCAGAGGGAGUUACUUGCCCCCCGGGGAGGGGGAUAGUUGCCCCGGGGGGGGUGUUAUUUGCCCCAGGGGGGUAUUUGCCCCGGGGGGGGUAUUUGCCCCAGGCAGGUGAGUUCUCACCCCACUUUUUUGCCCCCCCAGGUGCGGCGGCCGCCCCCCACGGAAGAGCCGAGCGCGGCGAAGCGGCUCCUGGUGCUGCUCCUGGCCGUGGUGAGCGCCCAGAUCUACAGCGCGCCGGGGGACGUGACACCCGAGGUGCCCCUGACACCCGAGGUGACCCCCACCGCUGUGGGGACACCCCAGGCACCCACCGUGACACCCCAACCCCCCCUGACACCCACUGUGACACCCCCUCCCGGGGAGGGAGCGCUGCUUCGGACUGGUGGGACACCCUGGCCACCCAACGGGACGCUGGUGGGGACACCCGUGGGGACACCCUUGGGUGCCUCCUGCCCCCGUCUGCUGCUGUCACCCGCCCUGCAACCCCACAACCACACAACAGGAGGCGCUGCCCGCUGAGGGGCACCCGGGACCCUCACCCUGCUCCUCCUCAGGGUGACAACCCAAGAGACUUGUCACCCCCCACCUCGGGGUGACACCUGGGACACUCGGGGUGGCACCUGGCACCCUGCUGUGCCCAUCGCCGCGGCCUCGGGGCUGCGCCCAACCUGCUGGACUGGUAUCUGUGCCUCUGGUGGUGGCCACGGGGUGGCAUCACCCACCCAUGGGUGCCCCCUGGGCUGCUAUGGGGUCCAUCACCCUGGCCUUAGGGCUGUGACAGCACCCAUGGGUGCCCCUGACCUCAGCCCCAUGGAUGCUAUGGGGCCCAUCACCCUCGCCUUAGGGCUGGGAUGGUGCCCAGCACCCAUGGGUGCUCCUGACCUCAGCCCCAUGGACGCUGUGGGGCCCAUCACCCUGGCCCUGGGGACGCUGUGGGGCUCAGCACCCAUGGGUGCUCCUGACCUCAGCCCCAUGGACGCUGUGGGGCCCAUCACCCUGGCCCUGGGGACGCUAUGGGGCUCUGCACCCAUGGGUGCCCCUGACCUCAGCCCCAUGGACGCUGUGGGGCCCAUCACCUUGCCCUUAAGGCUGUCACAGCACCCAUGGGUGCUCCUGAGCUCGACCCCAUGGAUGCUGUGGGGCCCAUCACCCUCACCUGAGGCCUGGGAUGGCACCCAGCACCCAUGGGUGCUCCUGACCUCAGCCCCAUGGACGCUGUGGGGCCCAUCACCCUGGCCCUGGGGACGCUGUGGGGCUCAGCACCCAUGGGUGCCCCCCGGGCCGUGCACUUUAGAAGGCAUUUGGCACCCGUGGGUACCCCCUACCUCACCCCCCGGGGGUACCCCCUCGCACCCAUGGGUGCCCCUCACCCAACCUCAGGGGGCUGCUCACCUCCUCCCCCGUUCCUGGUAUUUAUUUAUUCUAUUUCUAUUUAAUUUUGCCGAUAUUUAUUAUUUAUUUAUUUAUUUUUGGGUUAUUUCAUGUGAUUUGGGGGGGUAUUUAAUAAUAAAUAAGUUAAUAUUUAAUAAUAUUUAAGAGACGUUGUUGCUGGAUCUUCAUUGUGGGGCUUGAAACCCCCCCAAAAAAAUUCCCCCACCCCCCCCCCGUUGCCUACACCCACACUCAGCCCCAUGGACGCUGUGGGGCCCAUCCCCCUGGCCCUGGGGACGCUAUGGGGCUCUGCACCCAUGGGUGCCCCUGACCUCAGCCCCAUGGACGCUGUGGGGCCCAUCACCUUGCCCUUAAGGCUGUCACAGCACCCAUGGGUGCUCCUGAGCUCGACCCCAUGGAUGCUGUGGGGCCCAUCACCCUCACCUGAGGCCUGGGAUGGCACCCAGCACCCAUGGGUGCUCCUGACCUCAGCCCCAUGGACGCUGUGGGGCCCAUCACCCUGGCCCUGGGGACGCUGUGGGGCUCAGCACCCAUGGGUGCCCCCCGGGCCGUGCACUUUAGAAGGCAUUUGGCACCCGUGGGUACCCCCUACCUCACCCCCCGGGGGUACCCCCUCGCACCCAUGGGUGCCCCUCACCCACAGGUUUUUUCCCCCAAUUUCCUGGCUUGGGGGGGGGCACCCACAUUUUUGGGGGUGUCUGUGAUGCUGGAAAUUAAACCCCACCCCGUUUUGGGUAGAAAAAACCUCACUUUUUUAUCUUGUUUAUUGAACCCUCUCGGAGGCGACGCUGAAAUACAAAGUCACGAAAGUAACAAAAAACGACAACAAAAGUAUUUUUUCUUAAAAAAAAAAAGCUGAAAACAGCUCGAUUUUGCUCCAUUUCUUUGGGGAGGGGGGGGAGGGAAUAGGAGGGAUGGGGCGAACCCAGUUUAAUAAAGUCUUUUGUUCAAAACGUGGUUUUUUUUCC
Molecule: long non-coding RNA, 2440 nt
Filed under: Calidris pugnax (ruff)
Lineage: Eukaryota; Metazoa; Chordata; Aves; Charadriiformes; Scolopacidae
Description: lncRNA (ENSCPUG00000003841.1)
Source: RNAcentral